AUCCAUAGGUUAAUGAGGCGAACCGGGGGAACUGAAACAUCUAAGUACCCCGAGGAAAAGAAAUCAACCGAGAUUCCCCCAGUAGCGGCGAGCGAACGGGGAGGAGCCCAGAGCCUGAAUCAGUGUGUGUGUUAGUGGAAGCGUCUGGAAAGGCGCGCGAUACAGGGUGACAGCCCCGUACACAAAAAUGCACAUAUUGUGAGCUCGAUGAGUAGGGCGGGACACGUGGUAUCCUGUCUGAAUAUGGGGGGACCAUCCUCCAAGGCUAAAUACUCCUGACUGACCGAUAGUGAACCAGUACCGUGAGGGAAAGGCGAAAAGAACCCCGGCGAGGGGAGUGAAAAAGAACCUGAAACCGUGUACGUACAAGCAGUGGGAGCCUCUUAAUGGGGUGACUGCGUACCUUUUGUAUAAUGGGUCAGCGACUUAUAUUCUGUAGCAAGGUUAACCGAAUAGGGGAGCCGAAGGGAAACCGAGUCUUAACUGGGCGUUAAGUUGCAGGGUAUAGACCCGAAACCCGGUGAUCUAGCCAUGGGCAGGUUGAAGGUUGGGUAACACUAACUGGAGGACCGAACCGACUAAUGUUGAAAAAUUAGCGGAUGACUUGUGGCUGGGGGUGAAAGGCCAAUCAAACCGGGAGAUAGCUGGUUCUCCCCGAAAGCUAUUUAGGUAGCGCCUCGUGAAUUCAUCUCCGGGGGUAGAGCACUGUUUCGGCAAGGGGGUCAUCCCGACUUACCAACCCGAUGCAAACUGCGAAUACCGGAGAAUGUUAUCACGGGAGACACACGGCGGGUGCUAACGUCCGUCGUGAAGAGGGAAACAACCCAGACCGCCAGCUAAGGUCCCAAAGUCAUGGUUAAGUGGGAAACGAUGUGGGAAGGCCCAGACAGCCAGGAUGUUGGCUUAGAAGCAGCCAUCAUUUAAAGAAAGCGUAAUAGCUCACUGGUCGAGUCGGCCUGCGCGGAAGAUGUAACGGGGCUAAACCAUGCACCGAAGCUGCGGCAGCGACACUAUGUGUUGUUGGGUAGGGGAGCGUUCUGUAAGCCUGUGAAGGUGGCCUGUGAGGGUUGCUGGAGGUAUCAGAAGUGCGAAUGCUGACAUAAGUAACGAUAAAGCGGGUGAAAAGCCCGCUCGCCGGAAGACCAAGGGUUCCUGUCCAACGUUAAUCGGGGCAGGGUGAGUCGACCCCUAAGGCGAGGCCGAAAGGCGUAGUCGAUGGGAAACAGGUUAAUAUUCCUGUACUUGGUGUUACUGCGAAGGGGGGACGGAGAAGGCUAUGUUGGCCGGGCGACGGUUGUCCCGGUUUAAGCGUGUAGGCUGGUUUUCCAGGCAAAUCCGGAAAACCAAGGCUGAGGCGUGAUGACGAGGCACUACGGUGCUGAAGCGACAAAUGCCCUGCUUCCAGGAAAAGCCUCUAAGCAUCAGGUAACAUCAAAUCGUACCCCAAACCGACACAGGUGGUCAGGUAGAGAAUACCAAGGCGCUUGAGAGAACUCGGGUGAAGGAACUAGGCAAAAUGGUGCCGUAACUUCGGGAGAAGGCACGCUGAUAUGUAGGUGAAGCGACUUGCUCGUGGAGCUGAAAUCAGUCGAAGAUACCAGCUGGCUGCAACUGUUUAUUAAAAACACAGCACUGUGCAAACACGAAAGUGGACGUAUACGGUGUGACGCCUGCCCGGUGCCGGAAGGUUAAUUGAUGGGGUUAGCGGUAACGCGAAGCUCUUGAUCGAAGCCCCGGUAAACGGCGGCCGUAACUAUAACGGUCCUAAGGUAGCGAAAUUCCUUGUCGGGUAAGUUCCGACCUGCACGAAUGGCGUAAUGAUGGCCAGGCUGUCUCCACCCGAGACUCAGUGAAAUUGAACUCGCUGUGAAGAUGCAGUGUACCCGCGGCAAGACGGAAAGACCCCGUGAACCUUUACUAUAGCUUGACACUGAACAUUGAGCCUUGAUGUGUAGGAUAGGUGGGAGGCUUUGAAGUGUGGACGCCAGUCUGCAUGGAGCCGACCUUGAAAUACCACCCUUUAAUGUUUGAUGUUCUAACGUUGGCCCGUAAUCCGGGUUGCGGACAGUGUCUGGUGGGUAGUUUGACUGGGGCGGUCUCCUCCUAAAGAGUAACGGAG
RNAcentral lists this ribosomal RNA (2119 nucleotides) under Escherichia coli. Its description in RNAcentral is "partial 23S ribosomal RNA". It matches the Rfam family "Bacterial large subunit ribosomal RNA", at positions 162 to 2305 of the family's 2925-position model. Lineage: Bacteria; Pseudomonadati; Pseudomonadota; Gammaproteobacteria; Enterobacterales; Enterobacteriaceae. The record is from RNAcentral.